UGCCUAGAAAUAAAUCCACUCUCCACUUAGAUUAAAUGAUAGUUUAAUUUUUUGGAAGUUGAAGUUGGAACAUGAAAACCAUAUUCAAUUUCCAUUAUAUGCAUCCCGUCAUAGUUUCAACUGCUAUUUAAAGCUUAGCAUUUCAUUCUAAUAUAAAGCAGAAUUCAUAUUCAUAUCACACUGACAUGUUCAUAUCCUGAAUAUUGUUGAAAAAUCGUAUACUGGAAUUUAAAAUAUUCCUCAAUCUUGGUGUAAACUGUUAUGUAAAAAAUCUGUGUCAGCGUACUGGUCUUUCACAAAGAAUGGUCAUACUGUGGAUUCAGUUAUUUUUUGUGGGUUCCUAUUUUCAUGAAUUGGGGAAAAAUUGUAUUUUCAAGGAUAUUUGAACAGUUGAACGACUAAAAUCUGUGGUUUCCUUAUACAUGUUAUACAAAAAAAAUCCACAAAAAUUGGUAUCCAACCACAAAUAAUCAAUCUAUAGAAUUUAUAACACAGUGACAUUUUCUUGCCCUGAAUAUUGCUAAAUGAUAAUACACAUCUAUUCAUUAAUUUGUGUACUGAUUGAUUCACCAUGAUAAUAAGAAAUAAAGUGGAUUGACUUCCAAGCAACUAAAAAUACCAAAAACUAAAUUCUUGCAAAUAUCAUUGCUUUUCAUGAUAUUCAUCUUUUUCCUUUAAAUUAUUUUUCUUUUGGUAAAUGUUUUGAAUUAGACUAAAAUUUUGUCAAUAGUCCCCUACUGAUCAAGACAUCAUUUACUGUUAAGUUACAUCUGCACAGAAAUAUGCCUUCAAUGGACAUGUAGGAUAACAUGCCCCACUUGUUCAGUGAACUGUGAAAUCAGGAUCAAAACUGUAAUUUUGCAUGUAAUUUUAAAAAGCUUACAUCACAAUGAAUAUGUGCACAUGUACUAAUAUUCACGUUGAUGCAGUAUUUUUCAAACAAUCAAAUUUCCAUGUUCAGUGACCCAUGAAUAAUUUGCAUAUAAUUUAGAAAGUUGAACAAAUUUACUUAGUUUUAAUUGAUAAGUUGAUUUGACUUCAACUUCAUGGUAAACUCCCAAAAACCUUUAACCUGAUAUAAGACAGACAGAAUAUGGGAUGCAUAGAUCAGAAAACAAAAUGCCCCUGUACUGUUGUAGGGCGGGCAUAAGAAUAUCUUGACAAAUGCAGAUACAUGUAUAUGAUUUCACAAUUUUUCUUAAUUCUUCAUUUUGUAAAGAAUAUUUUUUUUUGCAUUUAGAUACAUGUUCAUAUCUUAUUAACUUCAUAAAAUACAAACCCGAUACCUUGCAAACCAAUUUUUGCAGAAAUAAAAAUUCAUGAAGAUUACUUUCAGAAAAAACUAGAUAUCAUUGAGAUGGGAGCCAUCUCUGUGGGCCCCGCUGUGAAUAAUGUGUGGUAAAAAAUUUGUAUCUUUAUCAUUGGACAUAGGGUUGUCAAAUGAAACCAAAGUUUUUGACCUUGACCUUUGACCUAGGAAGUUGUACAUAAAUUAUGACACACCCUCUGGUGUUGGUUUAUAUACAUAUCAAGUAUAAACUUUGAAAUCAUAACUGUUCUCAAGAUAUAGAGUGGACACGAUCUUUACCAUAGGACAUGAGGUUGUCAACUAAAACCAAAGUUUUUGACCUUGACCUUUGACCUAGGAAGUUGUACAUACAUUAUGACACACCCUCUGGUGUUGGUUAAUAUACAUAUCAAGUAUAAACUUUGAAAUCAUAACGGUUCUCAAGAUAUAGAGCGGACACGAUCUUUACCAUAGGACAUGGGGUUGUCAACUAAAACCAAAGUUUUUGACCUUGACCUUUGACCUAGGAAGUUGAACAUACAUUAUGACACACCCUCUGGUGUUGGUAAAUAUACAUGUCAAGUAUAAACUUUGAAAUCAUAACGGUUCUCUAGAUAUAGAGUGGACACGAUUUGUUACGGACGGAUGGACGGACGAACGGACAGACGAACGGACGGACGGACAGACUGAUCACUAUAGGGCGGCCGCUAUUCGGAGGGGCCCUAAUUAUAUAUACAUGUAUUAACACUUUAUAAGUUUGGCGUGUUCAAAGCACUUUUCUGGAUUUAUCUUCAUCAGGAAUGAUCAAGCCCAACAUUUUGAAAGUUAAGGGUGUUUAUUAAAGCACUUGAAUACGUGAAGAACUAUAUGAACAAAAAGACCCUAAAAGGAAUAGCCAAAUCAACCUAAGGUCAACUUUGUCUGAGGAAGUGGUAACCCAAGUAACCCUAAAAGGAAUAGCCAAAUCAACCUAAGGUCAACUUUGUCUGAGAAAGUGGUAACCCUAGUUACCUUAAAAGGAAUAGCCACAUCAACCUAAGGUCAACUUUGUCUGAGGAAGAUGUAACCUUAGUAUCCUUAAAAGGAAUAGCCAAAUCAACCUAAGGUCAACUUUGUCUGAGGAAGUGGUAACCUUAGUUUCCUUAAAAGGAAUAGCCAAAUCAACCUAAGGUCAACUUUGCCAGAGGAAGUGGUAACCUUAAUAUCAUUAAAAGGAAUAGCCAAAUCAACCUAAAGUCAACUUUGUCUGAGGAAGUGGUAACCUUAGUAUCCUUAAAAGGAAUAGCCAAAUCAACCUUAGGUCAACUUUGCCUGAGGAAGUGGUAACCUUAAUAUCCUUAAAAGGAAUAGCCAAAUCAACCUAAGGUCAACUUUGUCUGAGGAAGUGGUAACCUUAAUAUCCUUAAAAGGAAUAGCCAAAUCAACCUAAGGUCAACUUUGCCUGAGGAAGUGGUAACCUUAAUAUCCUUAAAAGGAAUAGCCAAAUCAACCUAAGGUCAACUUUGUCUGAGGAAGUGGUAACCUUAGUAUCCCUAAAAGGAAUAGCCAAAUCAACCUAAGGUCAACUUUGUCUGAGGAAGUGGUAACCUUAGUAUCCCUAAAAGGAAUAGCCAAAUCAACCUAAGGUCAACUUUGCCUGAGGAAGUGGUAACCUUAAUAUCCUUAAAAGGAAUAGCCAAAUCAACCUUAGAUCAACUUUGCCUGAGGAAGUGGUAACCUUAGUAUCCCUAAAAGGAAAAGCCAAAUCAACCUAAGGUCAACUUUGCCUGAGGAAGUGGUAACCUUAAUAUCCUUAAAAGGAAUAGCCAAAUCAACCUUAGAUCAACUUUGCCUGAGGAAGUGGUAACCUUAGUAUCCCUAAAAGGAAAAGCCAAAUCAACCUAAGGUCAACUUUGCCUGAGGAAGUGGUAACCUUAAUAUCCUUAAAAGGAAUAGCCAAAUCAACCUUAGAUCAACUUUGCCUGAGGAAGUGGUAACCUUAGUAUCCCUAAAAGGAAUAGCCAAAUCAACCUAAGAUCAACUUUGCCUGAGGAAGUGGUUACCUUAAUAUCCUUUAAAAGAA
Mytilus californianus (California mussel) is the source of this 3350-nucleotide long non-coding RNA. RefSeq lists it as uncharacterized. Lineage: Eukaryota; Metazoa; Mollusca; Bivalvia; Mytilida; Mytilidae. The record is from RefSeq and is a predicted model, not a curated record. The transcript is spliced from 5 exons.